Thalassophryne amazonica is the source of this 175-nucleotide long non-coding RNA. RefSeq lists it as uncharacterized. Lineage: Eukaryota; Metazoa; Chordata; Actinopteri; Batrachoidiformes; Batrachoididae. The record is from RefSeq and is a predicted model, not a curated record. The transcript has 3 exons.
UCAGAAGAAGUCGGUGUAAAUUAUACACCACCUCCCGACUUGGUGUAGGAUUUGAGCGCAGCGCACACCCACAUUGGGAUUGAUAAAUGUGAAACCAGCAGUGACUUUUUCCAUACACCUCAUCUACGCACGGAUUUUGCCAUAUGCAAUGUUGAUAAAGGAGGGCCAAUGUGAG